This is a non-coding RNA of Lactuca sativa (garden lettuce), 2416 nucleotides long. Lineage: Eukaryota; Viridiplantae; Streptophyta; Magnoliopsida; Asterales; Asteraceae. The record is from RefSeq and is a predicted model, not a curated record.
AAAUGAACGAUUCUUUGGUCAGAGACUUUUUCAAAUUUGAGGAAUGGAAAAGUCUAAAGAAUUCAUUUUUCUUUGUGUAUAUCUCUAGCAAUUCAGUUUUCCCCACCACCCCCAUCAUUCUUAUUUUGAAUUUGAACCCCAAGUAUGUUCCUCUUCAUUCUUUAUUUCUUUUACCCUCUCUCCUUCUCUCUUACCUAAGUAGUCGUUUGUCAUUCACUAAGGUCGGAUAGUCACCACCCUUUUUACAAACCUACACUUGCACCACCACUAAGGUCUCUAUCCCUCUCUUUCAACCAAAGUUGUCACAUAUCCAUCAUUAUGACGGAAAACCAACGUCUGCCAACAUCUCUCACCACUGACUUCUCUCUUCCUCCACCUCUGUCUCUCUGAGAAACCCCAUACCAUCGUACGACCGUUCUCACUAUGGUCACACAUCGUAAAGAGGAAACCUAGGUAGGUCACGAUCUCUCCUCUCUAUCUCACUCAAUCCACACUCUUGGAAGAAGAACUGCAGCACCACCUCUGCUCAUCGCUUAUUUGUGUAUUGACACAUCACAAAUAUCAGGUGCUACCCACAUUGGUGAAACUUUUUGCCUCCAAUGAGCAAGCUAUUAGAGUGGGUCUCCUUCAACAUAUCGAUCAAUUGGGAAAUUUUGGCUGCUUGGUUUUAGUGGUUUGGCUUCCCGUCUGAGCAACUCCAAAGAAGACAUUAUGAAAUCAGGGGAAGUUCACACCACAUGUCCUGAUUUGUAAUGCUUUAAGGUUGAAAAUGGACAUACGAUGAUGGUACGUGCAAUGGGUCGAGUAUUUGGUGACAAUGAGCCCAGAAAUGGAGAAUGCAUGUCUGCAUGUCAUGUUCCAAAAUAAUUAUGGUUGUAUCCAAGUGCAAUUUGGUGGUAAUUGUAAGAUGGGGCAAUCUGAUGUAACAUCAUAUGAUGGUGGAUGGCUGUCUACAUAUGUUUUUGAUAAUACAGCUAACACCCAUGCCUUGAAAGUUGUAUGUUGUAGUGUUUAUACCUUUCUUGGUAUUUUGGUUCAUGAUGGUUUUAGUGGAUAUAAUAUAUUACCUACAGGUAUGUUUUAAUUUGGUGUGUUCGAUGUUUUUGCUGUGUUUUUUCAAUUAAGUAUUUAAACUGGUGAAAUGAUAAUAACAAUAUUUUGUACAGAUAUGGUCAAUAUUAUAACAUUUAAAAACAACAUAUAUGUUUAAUUUGUAUUUAGUAUUCAAUUUAAGUUAUCUUGUUGUUGUAACAAUUUACAUGGCUAAUAACAUCUCGCUUGGGAGAUACAUCUAAAGAUCGCGAUAGCUGCUGACCAACGGUUUAAUGAAAUGCCAACUCCUACAGAUGAUGAAAGUUAAACCUGAAGGGGUUUUUGCCAGUCAAGUUGGAUACCAGUAAUGAAUCUGGGUUGGUAAAUGUCAUCUCAUAAGGGUGUAACUCCGAAAACUUGUGCUAAAUGGCUUUUUCAUAAGCCAAGUAAAUAAUGAUUGUUGUUUUAAUGGGAGGAAGUGAAGUUCUUACUAUCUAAGGUUUCUUGUGGUCUUGAACUUGAAAGUAUGGAUGAAAGUAGGUCCGAACUCUGCCCGAAUGGACCCGAAAACCAGAAUUGAAGUUUUAGAGGACCCGAGAACCAGACCAGUAUAAACCGCUUCCGAUUCAGUUUCGGGUAUCAGACCGGGUAAAGUAAAGUGGGUAUGUAACCGGAAAUUGAUAAUUGGAACUGGUUUCGGGUUUUAGACCCGGAUAGGCAUGUAUAUUUUUUCUAAGGGCCGGAUGCAAGAAAUAACAAUACACUUUUGUUUUUUUUUUUUGUUUAUAAUAACCUACUUUUGCUAUCUUCCCUUGAUGGGUGUAGGCUGUAACAGGUAUUGAUGGAGGAAAACAAGAGAAGAUGGUUUGGGUGAAGCUAGAGGUUUCCGGCAAUGAACAUAGUUGGAAGCGGUGAAGGUGUAUGGUGCUGCCAGAAGUGGGUUGAGGUUCAUGGUGAUAGGUUGCAGCAGGUAUGAAGGUUGCUUGGCAAGCGGUUCUGGAAGGUGGCUGGAAUGGAGGUGUUCGGCUGGUGAAGACGAUGAUGCAACAUGUAUUUUUGGGUAUUGAUUCGUUUUUUAUGAAGAUUUGUUUUUGGGUGAUGCAACAUGUAUUUUUCGGUGAUGGUGUCGUGGUGGUUUACAGCUUGUGUUUUUGGUACAUGGGAGUUUUACUACAAAAAAAAAUACUCCUAUCUAUCCACUCUACUUUAUACUACUUUAUUUAUAUUUGUGUGUCGCUCCGUUGCUGCUGAAAAUUUGCAUGCAAUUCUUUUAGUCAUUAACUACUCAUUGUAUUUGAUUUUUUUUCUUUCGUUUAGUAUUAGACCUCGGAGACAAGGAUCGUUUGGAGACAAUGAUAAUGGAUGAUGUGGUGUAAAGUGCAAA